Molecule: RNA transcript, 1423 nt
Organism: Dermacentor silvarum
Lineage: Eukaryota; Metazoa; Arthropoda; Arachnida; Ixodida; Ixodidae
Exons: 5
Source: RefSeq, a predicted model, not a curated record
CAAGACAACACCUCUGUUCGUUCCAGGCCGGCGAGAAGAACGCUGGACGCCACCAUGACCAAAGGCCAUGUCCGUCUUACCGGCCGGCGACCGCAUCACCGUCGGGCGUCGGCCACACAACGAGGCCCGGCCAGGUCGAGGACGCACCCGGAGUUCGAGCGCGUGCAAGCGACGUGGCCUGGGUGUCGAGGUGCAAUGUCGUCGCCUUCCAUGGAGCGCGGUGCCACGGGCGACUCGAGCCGACAUCGAAGACGCAGGACCACAGGCGCAGGCAGUGUUUGGCAGAUCGGGCGUUUCCGUGACCUUCCUGAUGCUCGGCAGGCACCCGUUCUCGAUCCACCGACGGCGGGGAAGUUCGGCAAUGCAGGAGAGCAGCCAGCACUGCACAAGGUCAAGAUCCACUUUCCUGGCGCUGAUCGCAUCCUGGUGGCGAAGAGAGGACGAGGCGAUGCCAGCUCCACGACACUCCUGGCGCUCGAUCCUUCCGGUGCGCCGUGGCCUGGGCCUCGCUGUCCAUCGUCGUCGCCUUCUAUGCAGCGUGGUGCCCAGGACGAUUCGAGCCGACAGUGAUGACGCAGGACCACAGGCGCAGGCAGUGCUCGGUGACUCGGGCGUUUCCGUGGCCUUCCCUACUACCCAGUCGCCCUUUCUCGAUCCUCCGAAGGCGCGGAGGAAGCGCCAGCAUUGAACAACGUCACGGUCCACUUUCCUGGCGCUGAUCGCAUCACUUUCUGGUGGCGAAGAGAGAACGAGGCGAUGCCAGCUCCAGGACACGCCUGGCGCUCGAUCCUUCUGUUGCGACGUGGCCUGGGCCUUGCGGUCCAACGUCGUCGCCUUCUAUGCAGCGUGGUGCCCAGGACGAUUCGAGCCGACAGCGAAGACGCAGGACCACAGGCGCAGGCAGUGAUCGGUGACUCGGGCGUUUCCGUGGCCUUCCCGACUCUCCAGUCGCCCUUUCUGGAUCCUCAGAAGGCACGGAGGAAGCGCCAGCAUUGUCCUGCCCUGUGGUUCGCGCAAAUGUCUGCAGUCGUCUCGUUCGUGGUGGAAGCGCUGGUCGCCCUCAGCUACGUCGCCAGAGGAGCUACUGGCAGCGAAAGGAGUGCACGAUGCCGGUAGCUCGCUCUGCGUCGACGUCGACGACGAUGACGAUGAUGGCCAAGGCGGUGACGUCGUCCGAAGGGUCGCCAAGUGCCAUCGACCGGCAUGGCCUGUGGGGCGCCGCCACGGGCGCUUUGAGGAUUUAUUUAUUUAAUGUAAAUAUUAGAUUAUAGAAAAUACUUUUCUUUUCGUUUGUACCGCACCGCGGUAAAUAUGUUUUGCGAACACCGACUAAAAUGUGCUUCGAAAUGACCCUGGAAGUUAUAAUUUACUGACUGCCCGAAGAGGUAGAGGUGUUAAGAACGCCUUCAAGAUUAAACAUAGU